Long non-coding RNA from Melospiza melodia melodia, 2291 nucleotides. RefSeq lists it as uncharacterized. NCBI's taxonomy places the organism in Eukaryota, Metazoa, Chordata, Aves, Passeriformes, Passerellidae. The transcript has 3 exons. The record is from RefSeq and is a predicted model, not a curated record.
GUGAAUAGCUGUCGGGAAUAGCACGGAUUUCGGCAGGAUGCUAGGAAAAGCUCUGCUUUAAACAGAGGAUCGCCGUACAGGAAGACAUGGGGCCAAUAUAAGGUCCCUGUUGUGCACUCUGGCAACUCCACAUUUGGCAUGAAGGACUGUGAAACUACUGCCCAAGCCACUUUUCAUCCUGGCAGCAGCAGAGCUUUUUUCUGAAUUCCUCCUUGAACUGAAGAUGUGUAUGAACACUGGAGAAAGAGCCUGUGGAUGAGGAAACCAGAAUCUCCUGUUCUGAUACCAGCAGGGACCUGCUGUUCAUCUUGCAACCAGAAGCAUGGACAAUUUCACAGCAGAGUCGCUUGGGUGUUUAUCAGAAGCAGCAGAAAUGUACCCAGUUAAAAGUUUGCACUUUUUUUGCAAAGAGUUUUAGUAGCUUACCAGAAUAGGGUUAUAAGGGGAUGUGAGCAGAAAAGCUUUUUAAAAUCACUGUAAUAAGUAGUGGUACUGAAGACACUCUGUUUAAGAGUAGCCUAAGCACACAGAUGAAGUCUAAGCAGACAGAAAGAGAUCUGGUUGACAGUAUUGGUCUGGUUUAGCAGCUUUCAGAGAAGAUUGCUUCUUCCAUUGCAGCUCCAUGCUUCCAAGCAGAGAGCCAGGGUAUGCAUCCUGGUGUUGUUUCCAGAACCAGCGUGCUAGCUGUGGUGCCAAAAGGAUUCGAAUUUGUGCAUUUUAUAUAGAUGGUGUCCUAACUUGGAGUGAGAGACCUUUCUCCAGAAGAGAAGGUUAAUGGACCUUCCACGAAACCUGUGUGUGUGACUGCAUUGAGUUUAAACACUGCCAGCUGUGGGAUGGCAUCUUGACGUCCAGUGCCAGCCCUGCACGGGAAAGGAGGGCGUGUGUUCCCUUGGUGGGUGCUCCGUGCCUUCCAUCAUUGAGCUUUCACACACUGGGGCAGUAUUUCUUGGCUACUCAUAAAGCCUGGGUGAGUGGGAUCCCUGGAGUUUUCAUACCUGUUGGGGAGAUUGGGCUGCUGUACUUGAGGUCUCUUUCCUUAAGAACCAUUCUGGCAGGUAAAAGCCCCUUGAUGCUAAGAGCUUUGUAGAAUUUCUGCUGAUGAACCCCUGUGUAUCUCCUCCUGUCCUCUGCACAUCAUGUGAGUUUCUGGUAGUGCUUUUUCCUGGACCCCUUUCUCACACCUCCCCGAGUUCUGAACCUCCUUGUUUGGAAAGGGGAAACACUCAAUUUGCCCUUAUUUUGUCAGCUGGGCUGUGCAUGGAGGUGUUUCUCCAGCCACUGCCCUUUUAUGCACUUCCCUCUUUCAUUCCACAAGGGCGAGGAGCACAGCAGGUCUGCAGAACUUCGAUUGCAAGUGGGUCUGGAGGUCAGUUUGUGGUUUCUUAGCCCUAGGAUGUUGAACAAGUCUCCUUCCUAUAUUUUACCUUAUUUUCUGGUCAGACCUAUAUUUACUUCCCAGGUCUCCCUGUUCCCUUUAAAUCUCCCGGCAUCACUGGUGUAAAUAGGAUUUGCCUGUCCCUGUGAAAUGGGCAUCUCUGUGGCUGCUUGCCCUGCCUUCUCUGGCUCUUUGUGGGACAGGGCUGUCCAGGUGUCAUUGUCUGCGUGGCCAAACCUGCCUCCUUCUCUGCCUUUUUAAUUAAAAAAUGGUUGGCAUCAGGGGCUCCUGCAGCAAUGAAAGGGGAACGAUGAAACUUUGAAGAAUUUGGGGCAUAAAGUUGAUCUCUAAAUUUCAAUGUACUCGUUGCACUUAAGCAGUUGAUACAUUUUAUUAUUGAGCAUUCAUGUGACCUAAUUUCCCUUAGUACUGUACAUUUAGCUUUAUACAUCUGCACCUAAUUUGUAAAAAAGGACUUAAUGAGAAACUUCAAACAGUUUAAAUGUCAAUUACAAAGAAAGCGAGGUUUUAAAGUUCCAGUAAUCUGUCCAUAUUGGUCACCGAAACAUGAUCCCAGGUGGACAUUAAUUCGAGACAGAUGGCAUUCCAAAGGCACAAUUACAAAGAGCUUAUAUAUUUUCAACACUAACAAGCUGUCACGCUAUGUUGUAGCUACACUUCCACUACUGUAUAAGCACAAUUGCUGCUUUAUCUGCUGUGGACUUGGUAAUAAAGGGGUUUGAUUCUCCACUCUUGAUAUUGUCAGUGGGAUUUUUGUGAACCGGAGAGCGGGGUUAGUUAGUGUGAAUAUCUUUCAUCUGCCCAGCCUGUUGGGUCGGGGGGUUGUGUUUGUUUCUGUGGUUUUUGUUAAGUUGGUGAAAUGCUCUUCAAGGAAAGGAGAGGAAAUGUUGAA